Molecule: ribosomal RNA, 446 nt
Filed under: uncultured bacterium
Lineage: Bacteria
Description: partial 16S ribosomal RNA
Rfam family: Bacterial small subunit ribosomal RNA
Source: RNAcentral
CCUACGGGGGACAGCAGUCGAGAAUUAUUCACAAUGGGGGAAACCCUGAUGGUGCGACGCCGCGUGGGGGAAUGAAGGUCUUCGGAUUGUAAACCCCUGUCAUGUGGGAGCAAAUUAAAAAGAUAGUACCACAAGAGGAAGAGACGGCUAACUUUGUGCCAGCAGCCGCGGUAAUACAGAGGUCUCAAGCGUUGUUCGGAAUCACUGGGCGUAAAGAGUGCGUAGGCUGUUUCAGAAGUCGUUUGUGAAAGGGGCGGGCUCAACCCGAGGAGGGCACAAGAUACUGCGAAACUAGAGUAAUAGAGGGGGAACCGGAAUUCUCGGUGUAGCAGUAAAAUGCGUAAAUAUCGGGAAGAACACUAGUGGCGAAGGCGGGUUCCUGGGCAUUAACUGACACUGAGGCACGAAGGCCAGGGGAGCGAAAGGGAUUAGAUACCCCAGUAGUC